Molecule: long non-coding RNA, 761 nt
Organism: Panicum virgatum (switchgrass)
Lineage: Eukaryota; Viridiplantae; Streptophyta; Magnoliopsida; Poales; Poaceae
Exons: 2
Source: RefSeq, a predicted model, not a curated record
UGUUGCACAUCAUCGACGGUUCAGCAUGCUAAAGAAUAGGACAGAAGGAAUCCAAGGAGGGAUGGUCGAGCUUUUGGCUCGACUAAACCACCUGUGACUUCAUGCGGUUCCCUCUUCUUCCUUCUUCAACGAUGGAGACCAUGUCUGCAUACGGAGGAAAAUCGUGCUCAAACAAAGAUAAAGGUACACUUCAAAGAAUUGUCUGAGAGCACAAGAAUUGGAGGGCCACGCCACAAAUCAAUUCAACCUCCAAGUCCAAGUAAAAAGACACUUCUGACAAAUCAGAGGCAGAUACAAGGAUCCAAGGGCCAAAUGACAUACCAAACCAAACAAAACUUCAAGGGAACACAAAGGAGCAACACCAGGGCCCACCUAUCAGUUGUCCAGAGGAAGGAGGGCCCGAGGGGGCGCCAUUUGGGGCCGGCCGACCCAUUGGGUAGUCGGACCCCUUACUAAGCCCAAAUAGGCCCAUCUUUUGCAUGCAGACUCCCACCACACUACCUAUGCCAGCCCCCCAUGGUUCCACCUCGGAAGUUCACUCAAGGAUCGACCCUUGGAGGGCUAUGUAAGGAGGAGGAGGAGAGCCCCCCCAUUCAACACACAACAAGAGAAGCAAAGAGGUCCACUCCAAGGCGAAGUCGUAGUGCUUAGAAAUGGGAAGAGAGUGAGGGGUAGUUCGGAGGGGCGCCGGCCUGUCGGCGCUCUUCUCCAACUUGUACCUCGACGGAUGCUUCUUUCUUAAGUAAGUGUUCGUGAUCUUC